This 425-nucleotide ribosomal RNA is filed under the name uncultured bacterium. RNAcentral describes it as "partial 16S ribosomal RNA". It matches the Rfam family "Bacterial small subunit ribosomal RNA", at positions 354 to 796 of the family's 1533-position model. The record is from RNAcentral.
GUGGGGAAUAUUGGGCAAUGGGCGAAAGCCUGACCCAGCAACGCCGCGUGAAGGAAGAAGGUUUUCGGAUCGUAAACUUCUAUCCUUGGUGAAGAUAAUGACGGUAGCCAAGAAGGAAGCCCCGGCUAACUACGUGCCAGCAGCCGCGGUAAUACGUAGGGGGCAAGCGUUGUCCGGAAUGAUUGGGCGUAAAGGGCGCGUAGGCGGCCCGGUAAGUCUGAAGUGAAAGUCCUGCUUUUAAGGUGGGAAUUGCUUUGGAUACUGUCGGGCUUGAGUGCAGGAGAGGUAAGCGGAAUUCCCGGUGUAGCGGUGAAAUGCGUAGAGAUCGGGAGGAACACCAGUGGCGAAGGCGGCCCCCUGGACGAAGACUGACGCUCAGGUGCGAAAGCGUGGGGAGCAAACAGGAUUAGAAACCCGGGUAGUCC